This 160-nucleotide non-coding RNA is filed under the name Bordetella sp. The record is from RNAcentral. Lineage: Bacteria; Pseudomonadati; Pseudomonadota; Betaproteobacteria; Burkholderiales; Alcaligenaceae.
GCCAGCCGCGCUGGAUCCGGCGGGUGAAAGUCAAACGGGAAACAGGAAGGCGGUCCGCCCAGAUAUGGGCCCGGUGCCCCCUCAGCCUGUGCUGCCCCCGCAACGGUCCUCGCGCGGCGACGCGCGACAGCCCGAUACCGGCCGAUUCGCCCGUGGAAUC